CGCCGCCGCCCCUCCGCCGCUCGGGCUUGGGGCCCCACGUGGCGUCCUCGUAGCUGUGGGAAAGAGGUUGAAGUGGACGAGGCUUUGCGACACUUCGUAAAGCGAAGAAAGCAAGUAGUAACGCAGUUUCUACGGGGGGGGGGGGCGUGUGUGUGAACGACGAAGCAAAUUGUGCGUGAUGAUGUGUUUACAUUGUUGUGCACGUGUGUGUGUGUACAUAUAGAAAGAGCCCCAAAAGCACACACGCCAACUGAACAAUCACACUAGGGAUAGGUUCUUACUGUAAAACUCAAGACUUCAAAUACUCAGACAAAAAGACCAGAUUGAAAUGAGGAAAACCUCCGUGAGUACAAGUAACCAAAUGGAGAACAAGCAACAUGGCUAAUUAGAAAUGAAGACCAAUCAUUUGGAAAUGUAGUGAGCGUAAGAGAGGUCCCUACCUCCAAGAAAAUAAGUGAAAACAACAGCCAUUAGGAUCAAUUAUAUUCCUCUUGGAAGAUAGAAAUUCAAAUCCUACAAUUUUAGUAAGUGACCUGGAUGCUCCAGUGCACCACCCGGAUUCCCUUCAGGACUGGAGGAUUGAUCAUUCCAGCUGCGAAGACCACUGUCACCAGACGGUCCUUAGCUGCUAUCUUUCUUUGGAAAAUUACCUGCUGGGAAGAGUCACCUGACCUGAAACUUAUCAACAGGGAGGUUUAUAGGUCACUCUCCAUCUCAGCUGGGCACCACAACUCUGAAGAGUCAUUCCAGCUUUAGAGCACCAAGUGUCAUCACCUGAGGUCUUAAUUUGGACCGCACUACAGCUGUACACCUACUUCUGCUGCUUUCCCAUCCUCUCUUUC
Long non-coding RNA from Tupaia belangeri chinensis (Chinese tree shrew), 842 nucleotides. RefSeq lists it as uncharacterized. The record is from RefSeq and is a predicted model, not a curated record. NCBI's taxonomy places the organism in Eukaryota, Metazoa, Chordata, Mammalia, Scandentia, Tupaiidae. The transcript has 3 exons.